AAAUUACCCACUCCCAGCACGGGGAGGUAGUGACGAAAAAUAACGAUACGGGACUCAUCCGAGGCCCCGUAAUCGGAAUGAGUACACUCUAAAUCCUUGUUCAAGGAUCAAUUGGAGGGAAAGUCUAGUGCCAGCAGCCGCGAUAAAACCAGCUCCAAUAGCGUAUAUUAAAGUUGUUGCGGUUAAAAAGCUCGUAGUCGAAUUUGUGUUCCGCGGCGUUGGUUCAUCGCUCGCGGUGUUCAACUGGCGUGUUCGCGGAACGUCCUGCCGGUGGGUUUUGGAGUGCGUUCGCGUGCUCUUGCCCAACUUGUGGUCGCUUGCGCGGCUGCGGAUCUCAUCGCGGUGCUCUUUAUUGAGUGUCGAGGUGGGCCGGCACAUUUACUUUGAACAAAUUAAAGUGCUUAAAGCAGGCCAAUUUUGCCUGAAUACUGUGUGCAUGGAAUAAUGGAAUAGGACCUCGGUUCUAUUUUGUGGGUUUUCGGAACCCCGAGGUAAUGAUUAAUAGGAACGGAUGGGGCAUUCGUAUUGCGACGUUAGAGGUGAAAUUCUUGGAUCGUCGCAAGACGGACAUAAGCGAAAGCAUUUGCCAAAAACGUUUUCAUUGAUCAAGAACGAAAGUUAGAGGCUCGAAGGCGAUCAGAUACCGCCCUAGUUCUAACCAUAAACGAUGCCAGCUAGCGAUCCGCCGACGUUCCUCCGAUGACUCGGCGGGCAGCUUCCGGGAAACCAAAGCUUUUGGGUUCCGGGGGAAGUAUGGUUGCAAAGCUGAAACUUAAAGGAAUUGACGGAAGGGCACCACCAGAAGUGGAGCAUGCGGCUUAAUUUGACUCAACACGGGACAUCUAACCAGGUCCAGACACCGGAAGGAUUGACAGAUUGAGAGCUCUUUCUUGAUUCGGUGGGUGGUGGUGCAUGGCCGUUCUUUGUUGGUGUAGUGAUUUGUCUGGUUAAUU
This 953-nucleotide ribosomal RNA is filed under the name Labidoglobus sp. JP-2017. Its description in RNAcentral is "bacterial SSU rRNA". It matches the Rfam family "Eukaryotic small subunit ribosomal RNA", at positions 438 to 1324 of the family's 1831-position model. Lineage: Eukaryota; Metazoa; Arthropoda; Insecta; Coleoptera; Staphylinidae. The record is from RNAcentral.